UGGGGGAGGCGACCUAAUUCCCAGAGGAAGGAAUUGGGCCAAAUCCACUCGGGCUAGGGCGGGCCGUACUGGCUCCCCCGAGGGACAAAUCCUGCCUGGAACCCGUGAGGGUGAAGGGAUGUUAAGAGCUGCUCACAGUGGCCGCCCCCAGGAGGUGUAACGGGCUGUGAGCGGUAACAGGGCUGGUCGUACGGGGCCGGGCUGUUACA
This 209-nucleotide long non-coding RNA is filed under the name Manihot esculenta (cassava). RNAcentral's name for it is "long non-coding RNA (MESC_LNC003317)". Lineage: Eukaryota; Viridiplantae; Streptophyta; Magnoliopsida; Malpighiales; Euphorbiaceae. The record is from RNAcentral.